Molecule: transfer RNA, 59 nt
Filed under: Paracyclopina nana
Lineage: Eukaryota; Metazoa; Arthropoda; Copepoda; Cyclopoida; Cyclopettidae
Description: tRNA-Ser
Source: RNAcentral
AAAGCGGUAUCACAUCUCAGCUUGAAACUGAGAACCAGAGAAACUUUCUUUACGCUUUA